Molecule: microRNA precursor, 71 nt
Organism: Gorilla gorilla gorilla (western lowland gorilla)
Lineage: Eukaryota; Metazoa; Chordata; Mammalia; Primates; Hominidae
Source: Ensembl
UGACCACCCCCGGGCAAAGACCAGCAGAUCGCCUGUUAGAGACGGGCCCAGGACUUUGUGCGGGGUGCCCA